RNAcentral lists this transfer RNA (75 nucleotides) under Pseudomonas phage fnug. RNAcentral's name for it is "tRNA-Pro". It matches the Rfam family "tRNA". Rfam says of the family: Transfer RNA (tRNA) molecules are approximately 80 nucleotides in length. Their secondary structure includes four short double-helical elements and three loops (D, anti-codon, and T loops). Lineage: Duplodnaviria; Heunggongvirae; Uroviricota; Caudoviricetes; Chimalliviridae. The record is from RNAcentral.
CGGAGUGUAGCGCAGUUGGUAGCGCGCCUGCUUUGGGAGCAGGAUGUCGGGAGUUCGAGUCUCCCCACUCCGACC